Molecule: long non-coding RNA, 833 nt
Organism: Lycium barbarum (goji berry)
Lineage: Eukaryota; Viridiplantae; Streptophyta; Magnoliopsida; Solanales; Solanaceae
Exons: 2
Source: RefSeq, a predicted model, not a curated record
UAGAUAAGUUUUUCUCAUUAUUUUUAUCAUUCUACCAAAUUUCAUAAUUUUUGGAGUUGAUUUGGGGCAUUGGAGUGGUUGCACUGUGCAAAAGAAGAAGAAAAAAAAAAACUAGCACAAAAUUGCUUCAGGACUACUCUUCUAUUUCAAUUUUUUGCUCAAAAGUGCAACCUGCACCUACUUUUUAGUCCAGUGGGUUUGUUAUAUUUUGUGUCUAGCACAGGCAUAAAUCAAGAGUUGAAAGGAAAAAGAGCUCUGAAAGGUAAGUGAAGUUCUGAGUUUUAAACACACAACACCUCCACACACUCAAACACGCACACACCAUCUCCGACCAGUUGGCUGUCCCAAACCCGCCAACAAUCAGUUUUAUGUGAUGUGGAAGUGAUCGGAAAAGAAACCAAGUGAAAACAAGUCGAUAGAAGCCAAAUAGAAGAAAACGAAAAAAGUGGCUAAAUAUGCAAAAACGGAUCAGAUCUGCAAAUCUGAAAAUAUGGGGCUGUUUUGGUCAUAUUUUAAUGUGGGAAUAUUGGGAACUAUAAGAGCAUGACUUGGGAGAAAUUAUUUUCAUCUCUGGCCAUUCAACACAAAUUUUGGAGUCUAGGGUUCUUGCACCACACUUUGGGGUUAAAGAUUUGGUUGAGCACGUUCUUGAACCUUUACUUCAUGUCUUUAAUUUCUUGCUUCAUAAUGAACAUCUAAGUGUGUAGGAUUUCAUUUCAAUACUUGAACCUUGUUUAUGGAAGUAUACAUUGUUAAAGUUUGGAUUGAAUCUCUUGAUUUGCUUAUGUAUUAAACAAAUUUUAUUUCUAAUGAAGUGAGUUAAUGUUUCUCAA